Long non-coding RNA from Gallus gallus (chicken), 1681 nucleotides. Lineage: Eukaryota; Metazoa; Chordata; Aves; Galliformes; Phasianidae. The record is from Ensembl.
CUACAGCUUGUGGAGUCCUGAGAAUCACGAGGUCAGCACAGAGGUGUUUGUGAUGGCUGCAGGAUUUAGUAGCUACGGCAGAAAGUCACAGAAUUUAAACAUUAGUAAUUCUGAUGGAAGCGUCUGUUGAUGAUUUUAGCUAUGCUUGCAGAAAAGUAUACCCAAAGACAUACAGAACAACCAUGUGCAGAUUAAGAAGAUGACAAAGGAAUAAUGGCACGGAAAGAAUGAAGGUCUAUGAACUUAGGCACUUUCUAGUAUUGUAGAGACAGCAAUUGGUUGUCUCCUAAUCCUUUGGGUUGGUUACAGUUAUUUCUCCAUCACUGUAGUUUGCUCCUUUUCUCACCAAAGGAUUUCAUCUUGGGAAGGCUGUUGUACCCCUUCCUGGCGAUUCAGGUGUGAGACAGCAAUCUGCUAAAUAUCAGUUUUAUUGUCUUCCAAGUGAGCCGCCUAAAGGACACUCCGGACUCACGUAAGUGCCUCCAGAGCUGUUCUCCAGCUCCCCAAAUAGGUACACAGACAAGCCUGGACGCCGCCAGCCAUCGUUUCAGACAUUAUGUAGUUCAGCUUUUUCUGUGAUGGAAACACUUCUUGUGUCUGCAUCUCCUCCUUCCAAUGCUCUGAGGAACUGAGGCCAGCCAAAAACAAGAAGCAACCACUUGCAGCUCAGCUGAGACAUUUGGACAUUCUGAAAACUCAGUAGGUGUGGAGCAAUAACUUACUGCUCUGCCACACCUCAAGUAUGUCCCAUCUCCUAUAGAAUUUAUUUGUCUUUGGCCAAAUUUUAGCAGCUCAGCUGUGGGACCCCAGCAGGUUGGCUUGCAUCCUCUGGACCAGAAGGUUUCUUCUAACUUCAUUUAAGCCAGUAAUUUUUUCACAUGGGAGUCAUGAAAUUCAUUGCUUUGUGAUGUGCUUCUGACUCCAGGAAGCCCCAGAGCUAUGGGAGUAUGAAGACAGCUGUUAGUCUAGCAGAAACUGCCAGGUUUGCGAAGACCUUGUGAUGGACCCAGAACAUCAGCAGAAGUAGAGAGCCCUGGGGGAAGAACAGACCUUAGUGCAAGUCAGACUGAAAGGAGAGCAAAUGGAAGCAGAGGAAGAAGAGGACGAACAGCUAAAAAGUCUCACUCUGAGCCAAAGAGAUCAGCUGGAGAGCUGCUUGUUUGUGCAGGGUGAUAGCUGAGCUGGAUUAGGGCUUCACUGAAGCAAGUAGGAGGCAGGAGAUUACAGAAAGAUGUGGUCAACCUGGGAAGGAAAGGUGUUGAAUGCAGAGCUGUGCCAAGUGAGAGUGUAGUACAAACUUCAGAAACUAAGACAGGCAUUCUUAGAAGUGUAGCAUUAAUUGCCAUUUUGAUCCUCUUCAUUCCUAUGGUGCUUACAGCUGCACUGACGGAAUAAUGCAUAAUAUUGCCUGAGCGCAGAGUUUGUAUUCUUGAUAUAAACCGGUCUGGUAUCAGGUUCAUGCUGGGAGGUGUGAACAGCAUCAGAAAUUCCAGUCUGAGCAAUCUACUUGUAUUCCUAAGCAGAAUAGAUACAUUCAGAGCAAGUGCCAUUUCCAUCCCCUGCUGCCCUACAACACAAUGGAUGUCACUCACCAUGCAACCCAGGGCGAAGCUGCCCACCACUUCCUCCCCUGGCUCAUCACCUCCCAGUCCCGAUUCAUUUUCCAUCCUGUAAUAUUCAG